CAAAUCAGGUAGGACUACCCGCUGAACUUAAGCAUAUCAAUAAGCGGAGGAAAAGAAACUAACAAGGAUUCCCCUAGUAACUGCGAGUGAAGCGGGAAAAGCUCAAAUUUAAAAUCUGGCGGUCUUUGGCUGUCCGAGUUGUAAUCUAGAGAAGUGUUAUCCGCGCUGGACCGUGUACAAGUCUCCUGGAAUGGAGCGUCAUAGAGGGUGAGAAUCCCGUCUUUGACACGGACUGCCAGGGCUUUGUGAUGCGCUCUCAAAGAGUCGAGUUGUUUGGGAAUGCAGCUCAAAAUGGGUGGUAAAUUCCAUCUAAAGCUAAAUAUUGGCGAGAGACCGAUAGCGAACAAGUACCGUGAGGGAAAGAUGAAAAGAACUUUGGAAAGAGAGUUAAACAGUACGUGAAAUUGCUGAAAGGGAAACGCUUGAAGUCAGUCGCGUUGGCUGGGAAUCAACCUUGCUUUUUUGCUUGGCGUACUUUCCAGUUGACGGGUCAGCAUCAAUUUUGACCGUUGGAUAAAGGCUUGGGGAAUGUGGCAUCUUAGGAUGUGUUAUASCCCCUGGUUGCAUACAACGG
This 574-nucleotide ribosomal RNA is filed under the name Phaeolepiota sp. RNAcentral's name for it is "partial large subunit ribosomal RNA". Lineage: Eukaryota; Fungi; Basidiomycota; Agaricomycetes; Agaricales; Squamanitaceae. The record is from RNAcentral.